ACGAUCUUUAGGGGGCCUGAGAGGGUGAUCCCCCCACACUGGUACUGAGACACGGACCAGAUUCCUACGGGAGGCAGCAGUGAGGAAUAUUGGACAAUGGGUGAGAGCCUGAUCCAGCCAUNCCGCGUGAAGGACGACGGCCCUAUGGGUUGUAAACUUCUUUUGUAUAGGGAUAAACCUACUCUCGUGAGGGUAGCUGAAGGUACUAUACGAAUAAGCACCGGCAUACUCCGUGCCAGCAGCCGCGGUAAUACGGAGGGUGCAAGCGUUAUCCGGAUCAUUUGGGUCAUAAGGGUCCGUAGGCGGAUCUGUAAGUCAGUGGUGAAAUCCAUCAGCUUAACUGUGAAACUGCCAUUGAUACUGCAGGUCUUGAGUGUUGUUGAAGUAGCUGGAAUAAGUAGUGUAGCGGUGAAAUGCAUAGAUAUUACCAUGAACACCAAUUGCGAAGGCAGGUUACUAAGCAACAACUGACGCUGAUGGACGAAAGCGUGGGGAGCGAACAGGAUUAGAUACCCUGGUAGUCCACGCCGUAAACGAUGCAUACUCGUUUUUGGGGCGUAAGCUUCAGAGACUAAGCGAAAGUGAUAAGUUAGCCACCUGGGGAGUACGAACGCAAGUUUGAAACUCAAAGGAAUUGACGGGGGCCCGCACAAGCGGUGGAUUAUGUGGUUUAAUUCGAUGAUACGCGAGGAACCCAUCCAAGGCUUAAAUGGGAAAUGACAGGCCAUGAAAUAGGCUUUUCUUCGGACAUUUUUCAAGGUGCUGCAUGGUUGUCGCAUGCUCGUGCCGUGAGGUGUUAGGUUAAGUCCUGCAACGAGCGCAACCCCUGUCACUAGUUGCCACAUCAUAGUUGGGGACUCUAGUGAGACUGCCAUCGCAAGUAGAGAGGAAGGUGGGGAUGACGUCAAAUCAUCACGGCCCUUACGCCUUGGGCCACACACGUAAUACAAUGGCCGGUACAGAGGGCAGCUACACAGCGAUGUGAUGCAAAUCUCGAAAGCCGGUCUCAGUUCGGAUUGGAGUCUGCAACUCGACUCUAUGAAGCUGGAAUCGCUAGUAAUCGCGCACAUGCCAUGGCGCGGUGAAUACGUUCCCGGGCCUUGUACACACCGCCCGUCAAGCCA
RNAcentral lists this ribosomal RNA (1124 nucleotides) under Chryseobacterium sp. RNAcentral describes it as "bacterial SSU rRNA". It matches the Rfam family "Bacterial small subunit ribosomal RNA", at positions 276 to 1404 of the family's 1533-position model. The record is from RNAcentral. Lineage: Bacteria; Pseudomonadati; Bacteroidota; Flavobacteriia; Flavobacteriales; Weeksellaceae.